Molecule: long non-coding RNA, 1036 nt
Filed under: Equus asinus (donkey)
Lineage: Eukaryota; Metazoa; Chordata; Mammalia; Perissodactyla; Equidae
Description: lncRNA (ENSEASG00005038545.1)
Source: RNAcentral
UAAACUUCCAAAUGUUAUAGGCCAAGGACUCACUGUUUUGAGUUGUCAAUUAGGUAGAUAGCUCUGUUGGUCAAUCAAAUGAUUUUUGUGGCUUUAGAACCCAAAUAAAGUGGUGUUGAGAGUCUCAAAGUCAUUCUUAUUAUCUACAUGAAUAUUUAUGGAACCCUGGCUGAAUUAAAAGUCCAAAAGAAUGAGGUGGAACACGGCUUCCAAAGUCCAGGCUGUGAGUUUGAGAUGCCUCUGUCACGGAUUCGACACUGUCGAAUUAUUAUCAAUUUUUGUCAAACUAAAGCCUAAAGUGCUGGGAAGGGGUGAUAGAGGGUGGUGGGAAUUAUGUGAAACAAUAUAGACGGGUUCUAGGUCUUUUAAUUUGGUGCCUUUCAACUUUGGAGGGACCUAGGAAAUGAUGUGUGGGAAGUUCUCCUCCCACCCUUGAGUCUAGCUCAGGUUCACCUCUUCAAGUGAAUCCUGUCCCAGGCGCAGUGUUGAAGUUGACUUCACCCAUCUUCUCAUAUUCAGCUCUCUGGGGAUUCUUUCAUUCUUCAGUGAUGGAUCAAUCAUCUCAGAAAACAAGAACGACUCUGGAAACUGCACACCACCAGCUGUCACCUCCAGCGGAGGUUCUGGGGAUCUCUGGAUGACCACGCACAUGCAGAGUGAAGGAGCCGAUCUGGUCCUACCUGUUGCUGACUUCCAGGUUCCCCUAGAAGCCUUGUGCUUCCCCUGCGCACAUUGGGUUUGGGUUGCAAAGGGGAGGGAUGCACGUCUGAAAGCAAGAAGUGUGUCCAGGCCAACGGACGUCUGAAAGAUGCAGAGGAAGAUGCCAAAAGUGUCCACCAAGGUCGAUCACUUUGGUUGCUUGGGGGCCCUGUUCAUGCAGCUCCUUUGGGGGUUUCAGGGCUCUCAGAGCUGAUGGGUCCUGCAUGAAGAGAAUGAGUCACAGCUGCGUCCUGUCCACCCGUGGGCCAUCACACAAGCCUGGGGCCCUGCCACCUCUCAGUCUCGUCUGCAUCUUGGGCCACCCCGUCGUAUCCUG